RNAcentral lists this unclassified non-coding RNA (348 nucleotides) under soil metagenome. RNAcentral's name for it is "partial contains 5.8S ribosomal RNA, internal transcribed spacer 2, and large subunit ribosomal RNA". The stretch from base 1 to 120 matches the Rfam family "5.8S ribosomal RNA", at positions 35 to 154 of the family's 154-position model. The record is from RNAcentral.
GAUGAAGAACGUAGUGAAAUGCGAUAAGUAGUGUGAAUUGCAGAAUUCCGUGAAUCAUCGAAUCUUUGAACGCACAUUGCGCCCUCUGGUAUUCCGGAGGGCAUGCCUGUUCGAGCGUCAUUAAAACUACUCAAGCUAAGGUUUUACCUUCUGCUUGGUCUUGGGUUUGAGGAUUCAAAAUCCUCUCUCCGAAAUCCAGUGGCGAAUUGUUUGAGCUGUAGACGUAGUAAAUCAUUCUACCCGUUGCAAGCGAGAAUAAUAUUCAGCCAUAACCCCCAUACUUUUCUAGUUUGACCUCGGAUCAGGUAGGGAUACCCGCUGAACUUAAGCAUAUCAAUAAGCGGAGGA